GGGAGGGGAGAGGGGGAGGGGGGACCGGCCCCUGGAGGCAGGGCGCAGGGGCUCUGCUUCUUGCUGAGUUUGCUCGCCACAGCUGUGGGAGAAAAAAUGCUGUCACUGCCGUGUUUUACAGAUGAAGAGCCUUGAGGAGGUCACGUUUCUGCCCUGGGGUUACGUGGUAACGGGCUGAAGUUUGGACCCACUCAAGCAGGGGUUCAGUGCCCUGCCCCGUCUCCACCAUGAUGCCCACUUCUGCUUCUUAGUCCAAAGGGAGCCCACAGGGACAGCUGGGCGCCCAGCUCUGACCUCUCCAGGCCACCCAGGGCCCCAGAGGGUUUAUAGCUGCCCCUUCGCGGCAGCAAGGCCAAACGCUCGUGGACUCGAAGAUGUGCCGCCCACCCCGCAGCUCCCGGUGCAGGUGGGGAGCCGGGGAUGGCCUCACGGCUCGUCAGGCCGGUCAGAUGGGAAGCACCUCUCAGAACAGCGUUAGAAUGGCCCUGAGAGGUUGGCCCUUGCACGGGCUGUACCUGUCUGACGGCUCCCUUGGGAUCACCUCUGCGUAGGCUCUGGGACUGGCACUCAGCAGGACAGUGUCCGAGAGGGCCUGGUAAAGCUGUACGUCAGCCAGCGAUGCCCGCUCUCACCGCUUCUGUGCAGCACGGCAUUGGAAGUUCCAGCCAGAGCAGUCAGGCGGGAAAAGAAGGAGAAGGCAUCCGAACGGGAGAGGAAGAAGUAGGGUUACUUCUGUUCACGGAUGACAUGACCUUUAUGCCAAGAACACCAAAGACUUCAUUAAAAAAAAAUGAGAAAAACUCUUAGAACUAAUAAACAGAGCUAGCAAGGCUGCAGGAUAUGAAAUCAACACUCAAAAAUCAGCUGUGUUUCUGUAUGUUAACAACGAACAAUCCGAAAAGGAAAC
Molecule: non-coding RNA, 907 nt
Organism: Vicugna pacos (alpaca)
Lineage: Eukaryota; Metazoa; Chordata; Mammalia; Artiodactyla; Camelidae
Source: RefSeq, a predicted model, not a curated record